GAUACACCCCUUGGACUAGAUAGCAUUGGCAUUGACGAUGAGAGCUAUAGGCUUGAAGAUGAUGUAAUUGUGAACCCCAGUAUAGUUGCUGAUGACUGAUGGAGUAUGGAUAAAGAUAAGUUGAUAUCAGAAUUAACUUAUUCCGUCCUUGGUAUUAAUGGUAAUUAAAUUUUACUUUUACUUGGUUACAUUUUCUGAAUCAAUAUUUGGUUACAUUUAUUGAUUGAAUUUUUUUUUCUUAAUUUCAUGUACUUCAAAUGACCAACUACGAUGCUGCAAAUGAUGUUUCUUUUUUGGUUGAA
This is a long non-coding RNA of Carya illinoinensis, 302 nucleotides long. RefSeq lists it as uncharacterized. The transcript has 2 exons. The record is from RefSeq and is a predicted model, not a curated record. Lineage: Eukaryota; Viridiplantae; Streptophyta; Magnoliopsida; Fagales; Juglandaceae.